CAAUAUCAAUAUUGGUGUAUAAGCUGUCAACGUCCAUCGUAAAGAGGAAGGCGUGCGUGGGGAUCCGGAGAGCACGCACCUUGGUAACGAAAUCAUAGGUAUCCUUCACGUAGCUCGCGUGGGAGAUAGACAAAGGAUAAAGGUAAUGAUCGAGAAACUCUGCCGUGUGGUAUGUCUCGCUGCUGCAGUCAGAGACGAUGGGUCGUCCCGGGGGGAUUUUAAAGGGCUCACUCCAGGCCAUAGGCUCUUUAUGUAUUAGAGAUUUAUAACGGAGCGGCUCCCUCGAGGCGUGUCUCGGGACGCGGGAGCGCUCAGUUUAAAAACUUAACCCAUUGGCUAAAGAGGAGCGCUGCCGUGUCCCGAGACCAGUGGACAUUGUCCCUCUCAGUCACAAAGGACUUCUUGGGCAGAGCGGGGAUGGAUUCAUAGCGGGUGGAGAUAAAGGUAUUUAAUUUUGAGAGAAGCUCCUGUCCCCUGAACGGGAGCGCGCGAGAGUAAUUAAUCUCCGGGAUGAGGAUCGCUGCGCAAGGGAACGCGAUGCGCGCCCAUUUGACUGCGGAUUGAAGAUUACCCACACAAACCCGUUCUGUUUUGUUACCCCUCUCGUUGAUUCCGAACGCCAGAACCAGUUUGCGGACCUUGGGGUCGACGGUGGUCUUCGCCAGAACCGCGGAGGCAUGACGGAAGGACGCGCCAGGGUAGCCGUCGAUCUGAAGACCAGUCACCAGCAGGUGGAGUGAGAGGGACCACGGUGCCUGCACCUUCCGGAGUCGCCAGUAGUGGUUGCUGGUUGUCCCCAGACCGGGCGGCGUUGGGAGGACAGCUCGCGACAGAAUCAAAAAUAAACACAUAAUAAAAUGACGCCGUUGCAUUAAAUUAUUGCAGUGGAGGACAAAAACAAAUAACAGAAAAGAAUAAAAGCAUAAAAAAAUCCGGAACGUGCCCCGAAUAUUAUAUUAAGUAAUAAAGUGACCGUAAAAACGGUUCAAACAUCAGGAGCAUCCUUAUAAACACAUGGUAUACAUAUUUAGAUUACAUAAUUAAAGGGGUAAAUAAAUAAAUAAAUGCUGUGGUGAAGGGAAGGAUCGUAAAUUCGAAUUGAACCGCACCGUAACUGAAAGUGUAUAGUGUUAUAUUUAUAUGUUACACUACCAUUGAACAUCCAGGAGAUGGAGCUGGAGAACCGUGGUGGGGGAUCCAAGAUGGCGGCCCCCAUGGGCAGAAACGUAAUCAUAUUAAUUAAAUAAGGGCGGUAUUAAGGGUGACAGAAAUUCAAAUGCGUAGCGAUAAUUAGUAAAGGCAGAACACGAAACAAACCCACGGAGAACCAAACACAAAGGGUUACCAUCCGAGCCAAGAACUUAAAAAGAGUACGGGCCAAAAUGGCCCCAGAGUGUCUUAGCUCUACGCGGCCAUUAGGUGUCGCCAAAUAGGCCCAGAUCAAAGGCUUUUUAUAUAACGGUGGGUUAAAUCAAACAACCCUCCGGGUUUGGAGGGUACAUUAAAGCACCUUUCAGGUGCGUAGGGGAUGGGGAAUAAAUAAAGGAAUGGCAGGGAAGGGGGGGCCCAUAGGACAUCAAUUGAAUAAAUACCAAGGGUGCAAUUGGAAACCAAAUUAAACCGCAUUAUUGUUUGUUAAUGGCUUAAAUAUAUGAAAAAUAAAAAAGAGUAGGGGGACGAAGGGGGACUGGGGCUGGGGCA
Molecule: long non-coding RNA, 1701 nt
Organism: Gadus morhua (Atlantic cod)
Lineage: Eukaryota; Metazoa; Chordata; Actinopteri; Gadiformes; Gadidae
Source: Ensembl